UUCAAUUAGAUUUUAACUUCUGUGUGUGGUUUUCCAGUCAUGUGACAUAAAAGUAGGUAUCCUCAAUUAUCAGCAUUUCCUUUUCUGUAGUCCUAGUUAAUUUUUAAUUUUUUUUCCAUUCAGGCUUUUAGAGGCAUUCUAUUGUUUUUGGUGAAUGCUAGUAAUAAAUAUUUCUACGUUAUUUUCCUGCCAACUCAUCUUUUAUUCAUAGUGCUGAUGAAAACAAUCCUCUCUGAAAUUUCUUUUGCUCAAAAAGUUCAGAAACUUUACAAAUGCAAUAGAUUUCUUUUCAGCUUGGUGUGAAUAUUUUCUAUUGCUUUGCUAAACAUUUUUGAAGAAACUAGAAAUUGUAAAGUUCUGCUUUUUAAGUGAAGCAGUAGGAAGCAACCUCAUACAUAUAGCAGCAAGUGGACCAGCUCUUUAUUUUUGUCAUUUCAAGAUGCCAAUAUUGUACUAAAAACACAUACGGCUACUUUUUUAAAAAUAAUAAUUAAAAAAAAAUUCUGUCAUGGAGUGGAAAAUGCACUGUUGUGCUCUCUCGUGGUCACAUGGAAGUUUACCACCGUAAGAUCCUGGGAUAUUGUCCAGAGUCAAUUGACCUCUACUUGAAACACUUGAAAUGGGUAAGAGUCUGAAACUUCUAUAUGCAUGCAUUCUAUUUGCAGAGGAGAUGCAGCUGUAGAUGUGCAGUACUCAUCAUGACUCUAGGGAUUACAAAUCUAUCAUCUAAUGGUGAUGAAAGAAUAUUUUAACUAUUAGCUGAUAGUGUAUUUUUAACAUUGGGUUUUUGAACUUUUUUUUUAGCAGUAAUGGUUUAGAUCAAUAAUCUAUUGAUGGCUUAUUCAAGCUGAAAGUUUUUAUUCGUCCUCACCAAACAAGGUAUUUCCAUUGUUCAUUAUUAUGUGCAGCUUCCAUUUCAACUCUGAACUCAUAAAUCAUAAAUGAAUGUGAAGUAUUCAUUUCUCUCUUUCAGCACUACCUUUAUCUAAUAUUUGCUGACAGGGCUCAUUGUAACUUAUUUUUGAGCACAAUCAGACCUUGUUUUAUGAACAGAAUUCAUUGUUGGAAAGGAUUCUAUAAAUAGAACUUAAGGGGCACCAAAAUGAGAAAUUCUACCUCAUUAGCAUCUUAACUGGAAAAAUCUGAUCUAAUACACAGGAAUUUUGAGCUGAUGAAAUACAAGCAAAUCUCAAAAUUGGUUCUAAAGGGUUAUGCUGUGAAUGGACUGUUAUGUUACUGUUUAGGGUGAUAGAAAGAAAAGGGAUUCAAGGUAGUAUAUAUUAGAAUAAGAGGAGAAAAAAACAACGUUGAUAUUACAGAAAAAGUAUGUAUACAGUGGGUUAUCUUCUGGUAUUUUGAGUUGUCUUCCUCAGGUGAGGCUUACGUGAAAUUAAAUCCUGUAAUAAAAUAGCUCUGCUUAUCUUCCUCAUAUGUAAGAGACAGAGAUGUCUCCUCUAGCAAUGCUAGGUACUGAAGUGGUAAAGCAAAUUUAUGGAGAAGUGAUUCUAUUUCAGCAUCUCAAGGAGGAUUACUAAUGGAAAAUAUAUUAAUCCUCUAAACUAUCUAGUCUCGUGGAAGACUAAAGGCUUAUUGCAUCAGCCUAGAAAUAUGUCCUCUGGGGACAACAUGAGGAUCUGUGCACAAGUUCUGUGUUGAAUGUGCCUGGCACAUAGUACCUUCCAGAAGUUGAAAGUCUGGUGCUAGGGCAUGCAUGAAGACUUUGUCCUAGCUCUUCCCAUACUGGGUGACUUCAAAUGUGGCUGGAUACCAAAUUAAGUCAGGAUAUUAUUUCAUGAUAAUAAAACUAAUUUCAUGAUAAUAAAACUAACUCAUUUCUUUACUUCCUCUUUCCCCAGCGAGAAACAAAGUAUGCUGACCAUGCAGAGAAAGACCCUAUUAUCUUGAGACACAGUUCUUCACAUAUUCAGCUUGUGGUACUCUCCCGCAGUGAGAACAGAUUGACUGUUCAAGAAGACCUGUGAGAUACUGUCCUGAGUUACGGUCACUACUGAGUCUCUACUGAUAUCAGCAGUUCUAGCACUGAAAAGAGCUGAGCCUUUGCAACUCAUAGAGAUAUGAAGACAUAAUCAGUGAGCAACUGUAUCUUUAUUCUAUUUCUGUGUGCCAUUCACAAUUACUGAUUUGACAUAAGAAGGACCGACUACGUACCUCUCAGCCAUCACCCAAUGAAAGUGAGAUGCAGCUCCCAUCUGAUUUUUUUUCUUUUCAUACCAUUAUUGCCAGAUUUGCUGGCUAGAGAAGGAAGAGGAAGCAAUAAAAAUGCAAAACCUG
Non-coding RNA from Meleagris gallopavo (turkey), 2292 nucleotides. Lineage: Eukaryota; Metazoa; Chordata; Aves; Galliformes; Phasianidae. The record is from RefSeq and is a predicted model, not a curated record.